Molecule: long non-coding RNA, 678 nt
Organism: Megachile rotundata (alfalfa leafcutting bee)
Lineage: Eukaryota; Metazoa; Arthropoda; Insecta; Hymenoptera; Megachilidae
Source: RefSeq, a predicted model, not a curated record
UUAUAUGUAUCUUUAAAGUCAUUAUUUCGAGAGAGCUAUAGCUAAAAUUAAAAGUAGUUACCCAAAGAAUAAAGAUUUGUUAUGAAAUGUUGUGAAUAGAUAUUCUUAUAAUAUAACAUUAUAAUUACAUAUAUACAGGCUAAUUUUGGUAAUUAAAUAAGACUAAUUCUCUUUCACAUAAAGUUAGGAAAAUUAUAAAUGGAAGAAAAUUUGCCAUUGUUUAAUUGGUUUAUGGUCCAUAGACUUAUACCGACAGAUUGUGCACUUCAGAAAAGAAAUUGAAGUUGGGAUAAGAAGAAAAGGACAACAGUCAUGGUCAUAGUCUCUUUUUCUAACAUAUAACUCUUUUCCUUCGUGAAAGCUGAGCGAAAGAGCAUCACCAAAGGAUUAUCUGCACUUUCCAAUGUCGGUUUCAGCUCUUCUGAAUAUGCAAUUUGCAAAUAUAUUUUAUACAAAAAAGAUCAUAUCAUGGACCUAUACGUACACAGUAUAGAAUUAAAAUAUGAAUUAUAUCUGAGAUCUAAAAAUUAAAAGGACAGAGCAUAAAGCUUCAUUAUUGACGAGGGGACCAAGGUAAUCAAUCGAAAGAGGAAUCGUGGUGGACGAUUUGUGAUUAAUGGAGUAGUACGCAUGCCCUACACUUUAUUUUAAAUAGAUGCAGAAUUACGAUUUUUUUUA